Molecule: ribosomal RNA, 483 nt
Filed under: uncultured bacterium
Lineage: Bacteria
Description: bacterial SSU rRNA
Rfam family: Bacterial small subunit ribosomal RNA
Source: RNAcentral
CUACGUGCCAGCAGCCGCGGUAAUACGUAGGGUGUGAGCGUUAAUCGGAUUACUGGGCGUAAAGCGCGCCCAGACGGUUACGUAAGCAGGAUGUGAAAUCCCCGGGCUCAACCUUGUAACUGCGUUCUGAACUGGGUGACUAGAGUACUGGAGAGGGAGGUAGAAUUCCACGUGUAGAGGUGAAAUUCGUAGAGAUGUGUAGGAAUACCGAUGGGGAAGCCAGCUUACUGGGAUGAUACUGACGCUAAUGCGCGAAAGCGUGGGUAGCAAACAGGAUUAGAUACCCUGGUAGUCCACGCCGUAAACGAUGUCAACUAGGUGUUGGGCAACUUGCUUAGUGCCCAAGCUAACGCGAUAAAUUGACCGCCUGGGGAGUACGUACGCAAGAUUAAAACUCAAAGGAAUUGACGGGGACCCGCACAAGCGGUGGAGCAUGUGGUUUAAUUCGAUGCAACGCGAAGAACCUUACCAGCGCUUGACAUC